GUACAAGUGGGUGCUCACAGUGGAGACUGCCUUGGCUCUGGUUUUCCUGAACCUUGAUGGGACACUCUACAGUGAGUCCUGGGAUUCCUUGCUACUUGUUUGAAUCGACCUUGGGACCUUGCACCUGCAAGGCACGUGGCGGAACCACUGAGCUAAAUCCCCGGCCCUGUAUAUAAUAUUUUUGUGAACACCUAAAUCUAUAUAGCACUCUUUUAUAUCUGUGUCUGUGUCUCCUCUCUUUUUUUACUAGUCAAUAUUUUUGUUCCUUUUCCUUCUUGUCCAUCAGACUUGUGGGAAUCUAAACAGAGAAAGCUCUCCAACCAGAAGAGCAACAUUGCAGAGCCAUGAGGACAAACCUUUCUCCUCAGCUCUUGGGGUCAGAGCAAACCAGUCAGGUUACACAAGAAUGUUCUGUACUGCCAAGUAGCUUUUCAUGUGGCACAACUCAGAAAGAUGUUCACAGAUAUGCUCUUUUCUCGUGGCUCAGUCUGUGAGGAAAAAAAUAAUGAUAAAAUCAGGAAUCCACUAAAAGAUGAAUAUGACCGUUCAAAACUAUAAAGGACUCUUAUCAUUUUUUCCAUGCAAAACACACUUAAUGUUCACAUAUGUUCUUUAAAAAUUAAGCAAAACAAAAUCAACAUAAAUGAUGUUAAGCAAGCAAGACUAAAUAUGUCUGUAACUUUGAGCCUGUGUCUGGAGUCCACAAGCACCGACAACUGAAAUGCUCAACUUCACUCAGAACAUGUGCAUCUGCGCCUGACCCCUGUGAGUCCAUGAUCCACAAGAGCUAGAAGGAGAAACAACUAACCCUAGGAUCCUUGCAGCCAGGCAGGGAUAUUUCCAAAUCUCUUUCCUUAUGGAGCCCCAGCACACUUGAAUGAGGAAGAAAGUGAGAGGAAGUAAGAAAAAGAAAGGAAGAUAUAGAAGGAAAAGGGAAUAGGAGGGUGGGAGGAAAGAAGAGCAAGAAUAAAAAUAUCCAAUAUUGGGUAUGAAGAAAAUGAGGGCCAAUAUUAAAUACAGAUGAAAUUAAAGAAGUAUAAAAGGAUGCCAUGUGUAAUAUGUUGAGAAAUAAUUUGAAAACUACAGGAAAGAUAAUUUCUUUGCAAGCUAUAUUUCUAAAACCAACUCAAAGCAAUAAAACAAAAGAGUAUUAAUAUCCAAAAAGCUUUAUAAAUAAAAUAUAGCUUCUAUCAAGGAAGAAAUUGCAAAGAAAAGGUUCCAUAGGCAAAUCCCAGAUAACCUGUGGCAAUUCUGAUAAAAGUAGAUCAUAGGAAAAAAACAGCUGUUUUUAUUAUCUUAUUGUAGCAUCACAUUUUUAAUUGAAAUUUGGUAAAGAUGCUAUAAAAUAAUUUCUCAAAACAUUUCAUUUCCAAAUAUAUGUGCUAAUAGUCUAAUAAAAACAUUAUCAAAAUGAGUCAAAUAUAAAUCAAAUAGAAUGGCUCAAUUUCAAGAAUUUUUUAAAAGAUACCUGAAAAAUAAAUUAUCCUAUCAAUAGAAGUUGAGCAAUUUUAUAGAGAUAUCAAUCUUUCAUAACAAAACCUUUUAUGAAAACUGAAUUUGUAGUUGGUUUAGUUAUUGCUUUAUAUAUUUUGAGCCUAUAUUAAUAGGUGGAUAUGUGAAUAGGUAUUUUAAUGAACACAGUUAUUUUCUGAUUGCUCUUUGUACUAGUAUGCAACAUCCUUCUUUGUUAUUUGUUGACAUAUAUCAUUAUUUUGUCAGUAGUUAAUAUUGCUGCUUCAAAUUUCUUCUGGUUUAUAUUUUCCUUGUGUACCUAUUCUCCAGUUAUUAGCAUGCGUGUGUGUGCUCGCACACGUGUAUGACUGUGAGGUGUAUUGGUUUUGCUCACAGAAAAUAUUUUGUUGGACUUGUUUUAAUCAGUUCUGAGUCUCUAUUGAUUACUGAGUUAACCCAUUUACAUUCACUACCUUUAUUAGUACAUAAGUCUUAUUUCUUAUGUCAGUCAGUUUAUUUUAUUUGCUUACCCUUAUUCUACGCUGAAUAGAUAAGAUUUUCUUCCACUACUUCAAAUAUUGUAUAUUUUUCAU
Molecule: long non-coding RNA, 2045 nt
Filed under: Heterocephalus glaber (naked mole-rat)
Lineage: Eukaryota; Metazoa; Chordata; Mammalia; Rodentia; Bathyergidae
Description: lncRNA (ENSHGLG00100050212.1)
Source: RNAcentral